AACGAACGCUGGCGGCAUGCCUAACACAUGCAAGUCGAACGAGACCUUCGGGUCUAGUGGCGCACGGGUGCGUAACGCGUGGGAACCUGCCCUUAGGUUCGGAAUAACUCCCCGAAAGGGGUGCUAAUACCGGAUAAUGUCUUCGGACCAAAGAUUUAUCGCCUUUGGAUGGGCCCGCGUUGGAUUAGCUAGUUGGUAGGGUAAAAGCCUACCAAGGCGACGAUCCAUAGCUGGUCUGAGAGGAUGAUCAGCCACACUGGGACUGAGACACGGCCCAGACUCCUACGGGAGGCAGCAGUGGGGAAUAUUGGACAAUGGGCGAAAGCCUGAUCCAGCAAUGCCGCGUGAGUGAUGAGGGCCUUAGGGUUGUAAAGCUCUUCUACCCGGGAUGAUAAUGACAGUACCGGGAGAAUAAGCUCCGGCUAACUCCGUG
Molecule: ribosomal RNA, 433 nt
Filed under: uncultured bacterium
Lineage: Bacteria
Description: partial 16S ribosomal RNA
Rfam family: Bacterial small subunit ribosomal RNA
Source: RNAcentral